Molecule: ribosomal RNA, 465 nt
Filed under: uncultured bacterium
Lineage: Bacteria
Description: partial 16S ribosomal RNA
Rfam family: Bacterial small subunit ribosomal RNA
Source: RNAcentral
CCUACGGGGGGCAGCAGUGGGGAAUAUUGCGCAAUGGGCGAAAGCCUGACGCAGCGACGCCGCGUGAGGGAUGAAGGUCUUCGGAUCGUAAACCUCUGUCAGCAGGGAAGAACGGUCACUGUGCUAAUCAUCAGUGAAUUGACGGUACCUGCAAAGGAAGCACCGGCUAACUCCGUGCCAGCAGCCGCGGUAAUACGGAGGGUGCGAGCGUUAAUCGGAAUUACUGGGCGUAAAGCGCUCGUAGGCGGUAUGUCAAGUCAAGGGUGAAAUCCCCGCGCUCAACGUGGGAACUGCAUUUGAAACUGGCAGACUGGAGUGUGUGAGAGGAUAGUGGAAUUCCAGGUGUAGGAGUGAAAUCCGUAGAUAUCUGGAGGAACAUCAGUGGCGAAGGCGACUAUCUGGCACAUAACUGACGCUGAGGAGCGAAAGCGUGGGUAGCAAACAGGAUUAGAUACCCGUGUAGUC